RNAcentral lists this ribosomal RNA (344 nucleotides) under Citrus maxima (pomelo). RNAcentral describes it as "eukaryotic LSU rRNA". The stretch from base 3 to 158 matches the Rfam family "5.8S ribosomal RNA". Lineage: Eukaryota; Viridiplantae; Streptophyta; Magnoliopsida; Sapindales; Rutaceae. The record is from RNAcentral.
ACGACUCUCGGCAACGGAUAUCUCGGCUCUCGCAUCGAUGAAGAACGUAGCGAAAUGCGAUACUUGGUGUGAAUUGCAGAAUCCCGUGAACCAUCGAGUCUUUGAACGCAAGUUGCGCCCCAAGCCAUUAGGCCGAGGGCACGUCUGCCUGGGUGUCACGCAUCGUUGCCCCACCCCACCCCCCCAAACCAAGGCGGGGGCCCGGGGUGCGGGCGGAGAUUGGCCUCCCGUGCGCUGACUGCUCGCGGUUGGCCCAAAUAUGAGUCCUCGGCGACCGAAGCCGCGGCGAUCGGUGGUGAAACAAAGCCUCUCGAGCUCCCGCCGCGCGCCCGGUCUCCAAGUGU